GUCUCUGUAGCGCAAUAGUUAGAGCGUUGGACUUCUAAUCCAAAGGGCGUGGGUUCGAAUCUCACCUGUGACG
Molecule: non-coding RNA, 73 nt
Organism: Trichonephila inaurata madagascariensis
Lineage: Eukaryota; Metazoa; Arthropoda; Arachnida; Araneae; Nephilidae
Source: the annotation of a GenBank genome assembly